GUGGGGAAUAUUGGACAAUGGGCGCAAGCCUGAUCCAGCCAUGCCGCGUGAGUGAUGAAGGCCUUAGGGUUGUAAAGCUCUUUCACCGGAGAAGAUAAUGACGGUAUCCGGAGAAGAAGCCCCGGCUAACUUCGUGCCAGCAGCCGCGGUAAUACGAAGGGGGCUAGCGUUGUUCGGAAUUACUGGGCGUAAAGCGCACGUAGGCGGAUAUUUAAGUCAGGGGUGAAAUCCCAGAGCUCAACUCUGGAACUGCCUUUGAUACUGGGUAUCUUGAGUAUGGAAGAGGUAAGUGGAAUUCCGAGUGUAGAGGUGAAAUUCGUAGAUAUUCGGAGGAACACCAGUGGCGAAGGCGGCUUACUGGUCCAUUACUGACGCUGAGGUGCGAAAGCGUGGGGAGCAAACAGGA
This 406-nucleotide ribosomal RNA is filed under the name uncultured bacterium. RNAcentral's name for it is "bacterial SSU rRNA". It matches the Rfam family "Bacterial small subunit ribosomal RNA", at positions 354 to 777 of the family's 1533-position model. The record is from RNAcentral.